Molecule: long non-coding RNA, 847 nt
Organism: Lytechinus variegatus (green sea urchin)
Lineage: Eukaryota; Metazoa; Echinodermata; Echinoidea; Temnopleuroida; Toxopneustidae
Exons: 3
Source: RefSeq, a predicted model, not a curated record
CGUUCCUUGGAUGAAUAGCAAGAGUACGCGGAGAAGUUCUCAAAAUGAUAUCAGUUUCCUGGUAAGAGGCUCUGCCUCCAGUAUCUUCCAGAAUUGGGGACACGACGAUUGCUCAUACGACAAUAUUGUUCCAGGGUUUAUUUCGUCUGAGAUAAACAGAUAAACGGUUAGAGGUGACGGCGACGUUUACUUUUCGUACCUUGAUGGUUCUGUCAUGUUUGAGUGGGAUUAUCGAUUCGGUUAGGGGUCAACCUUGUCCUGUUACCCAGCCCGACUACUUGCCUUCCUACGAGGACAGUGAUAUCCUUUUGAGAACUUCCCCGCAUACUCUAGGCAUUCAUCCACGGAAUGCACUCCAAUACCGUUCCGACGUCGAACAACCGGUCGAGGAACUGGAAUGCGGCGAUCCACUCUCACAAGCUGGUGCUGUACGAUCACCACAGAAUACCGGUCUGUGUCCAUGGGAGUACAUAGCUGAUCAUAACGAUACGAGGAUUCCACAUACUAUAUACAAGGCAAGAUGUCUCAGCUGUACCCGGGAGUGUAUUGAUCCGAUGGCGAGUAACAAUUCUUCGCAGAUACAUAGAUUGUUCUCAAGAUGCACCGAGGUAUAUCACAACCUUAAAGUUCUUGUCAGAUCCGAGAACCCUUGUCUUGGACAAACUGGUUUGUUUCAAUAUAAAGAACAUAUCGCAAGUGUGCCCGUUGCCUGCGUCUGUACACGCUCCUAAUUCUAUUUUAUUCUGGUCAUUAUUAAGCAUGCAUGAUAAGUCACUUUUAAUUUUCCCCCUGAUAAAGAGCUUUCUUGUACUAGGCAUAAUAUUUACACGAUUUUUAUACAUUCAAA